UACAGAGACUGCAAGCGUUAUUCGGAUUCACUGGGCGUAAAGGGUGCGCAGGCGGCCAAGUGUGUUAGGCGUGAAAGCCCGGGGCUUAACCCCGGAAUUGCACCUAAAACUACAUGGCUAGAGCAUUGGAGAGGGUAGCAGAAUUCAUGGUGUAGCAGUGAAAUGCGUAGAUAUCAUGAGGAAUACCAGAGGCGAAGGCGGCUACCUGGACAAUUGCUGACGCUCAGGCAACG
RNAcentral lists this ribosomal RNA (233 nucleotides) under uncultured bacterium. RNAcentral describes it as "partial 16S ribosomal RNA". It matches the Rfam family "Bacterial small subunit ribosomal RNA", at positions 524 to 755 of the family's 1533-position model. The record is from RNAcentral.